RNAcentral lists this ribosomal RNA (575 nucleotides) under uncultured bacterium. RNAcentral's name for it is "bacterial SSU rRNA". It matches the Rfam family "Bacterial small subunit ribosomal RNA", at positions 335 to 900 of the family's 1533-position model. The record is from RNAcentral.
ACUCCUACGGGAGGCAGCAGUGGGGAAUAUUGCGCAAUGGGGGAAACCCUGACGCAGCGACGCCGCGUGAGCGAAGAAGGCCUUAGGGUUGUAAAGCUCUGUUUUAAGGGACGAAUGUCGUGGGGAGUAAUAUGCUCUGCGAAUGACGGUACCUUAAGAGGAAGCCCCGGCUAACUACGUGCCAGCAGCCGCGGUAAGACGUAGGGGGCGAGCGUUGUCCGGAAUUACUGGGCGUAAAGAGCACGUAGGCGGGAACUUAAGUCAGGUGUGAAAGACCGGGGCUCAACUCCGGGGUUGCACUUGAAACUGGGUUUCUUGAGGGCAGGAGAGGAAAGCAGAAUUCCUGGUGUAGCGGUGAAAUGCGUAGAAAUCAGGAGGAAUACCAGUGGCGAAGGCGGCUUUCUGGACUGACCCUGACGCUGAGGUGCGAAAGCGUGGGUAGCAAACAGGAUUAGAUACCCUGGUAGUCCACGCCGUAAACGAUGGAUACUAGGUGUGGGAGGUAUCGACCCCUUCCGUGCCGCAGCUAACGCAAUAAGUAUCCCGCCUGGGGAGUACGGUCGCAAGGCUGAAAC